UAGGCGGCCCCACUAUGAAGCGCUAGAAACGUCCAGCACUCUGGGACCCCGAUGGAGCUCUGCGAGUAUGAGGCCGUAGGCUACAUGGUUUGUGAUUGUGUUUUGUUUUCUUUUCUUUUGAGGCAGGGUCUCUCUAUAUAGCCCUAGCUGGGCUCGAAGUUACAGAUAUCCAACUAUAUUCCCCUUCCACAUGCUGCUGGGAUUAAAAGCCUGUGCUACCACGCCGGGCUCCAAGGCUACAGAAUGAGACCCUUUCUCAAAAACAUAAAAAGUAAAAUAAAGUGGUUUCGGAAGUUCUACAGCCAAGUUGAUCAGGUAGAUUGAAGGUCCGGAGCGCAGCCGCGUUGGGGCAAAUUUAAAGGGGUUUGUGGCAACACUGCAAUGCCUGCCCUCUUUUUCCAUGGGCCACUUCUCAGGACUGUGUUUGCAGGAAGAGGGAUGCAAUGAUGCCUACAAGAAACAGCAGGCAUGCUGCCAGCAUAGGGGUUCACAUCCCCAGCAUUAACAAGGCCGAGGGAAUAGGACUGCCUCAAGAUGGAGGCCACCUGGGCGACAGUAGCCAUCCCAAGCAAGCCUCAGCUGCUGAAGUGAUAUCUUGUCUCACAAAAUUAAUGAAUGACAAAAAUGAAAAGAGCAAGCGUGCUUAGUGCUUAUUAUAAAAUGGAAGGUUCUCCAAGAUCAGUGUGCCUCUCUCAUGAUGCGGCCACAGCCUAUGCAAGCAUCUGCCCGAGCCUUCUGCAUCAGACUUAGGGAGCACGAAGACUGUGUCUGUCAAGAGCUCUGAGGAAUACCAGCGGAAGCACCUGGCUGCCCAUGGCCUGACGAUGCUAUUUGAACACAUGGCCACAAAUUACAAGCUUGAAUUCACAGCGCUGGUGGUGUUUUUGUCACUGUGGGAGCUGAUGGUCCCCUCACGAGAGACUACAACACCCUGCAGGAAGCACUGAGUAACAUGGAUGAUUAUGACAAAACCUGCUUGGAGUCUGCAUUAGUCAGCGUUUGCAAUAUUGUCCAGCAAGAAUGGGGUGGAGCGAUUCCUUGCCAGGUUGUUCUGGUGACUGAUGGCUGUCUUGGUAUUGGCAGGGGGUCACUGGGACACUCCCUAGCUACUCAGAAUCAAAGAAGUGAGAGCAACAGGUUUCCACUCCCCUUCCCUUUCCCAUCUAAGUUAUAUGUCAUGUGCUUGGCGAACUUGGAGGAGCUUCAGAGCACCGAUUCCUUGGUAUGCCUUGGUAUACCAUAGACUUAAUGGUGAAGGGCAAAUUUUUCUAUUGAUGGCCCCCUGUGUUUGAAAAAUGUGCAAUCUAUGUUUGGAAAGCUGAUAGAUCUGGCGUACACACCUUUCCAUACUGUUCUCAAGUGUGGCCACCUAACGGCUGAUGUACAAGUCUUGCCAGAGCCUUUUGUUAUAGAUGAAGAAAUUGACCCCAUCCCUAAAGUCAUUAACACAGACUUGGAAAUAGUGGGCUUUAUUGACAUAGCUGAUAUUUCCAGCCCCCCAGUUUUGUCCAGGCAUUUGGUCUUGCCCAUAGCACUUAACAAAGAAGGUGAUGAGAUGGGUGCUGGCAUCACUAAUGACAAUGAAGAUGAGAAUUCAGCCAAUCAGAUUGCUGGCAAAAUACCCAACUUCUGUGUCCUGCUCCACAGCAGCCUGAAGGUGGAAGGAAUGGUGGCACUUGUCCAACUAGGGCCUGAAUGGCAUGGAAUGCUCUACUCCCAAGCUGACAGCAAGAAGAAAUCAAACCUCAUGAUGUCUCUCUUCGAGCCUGGCCCAGAACCUCUCCCGUGGCUUGGGAAAAUGGCCCAGUUGGGGCCCAUCUCAGAUGCUAAAGAAAAUCCUUAUGGGGAGGAUGACAACAAGAGCCCCUAACGCAAACAACAGGGAAAAUACUAGGGUGGAUGAGAAGGGGGAGGUGACCAUAGGGAAGGGCCAUUCAAAGUUUAUGCUGGUCUCAUAUCCAGCUAAAGCAGACCCUGGCAUAGACAGCACAGGGCUGGGUCUUCAUAAUUCCUCAAAGCCAAAGGUAAUGGGAGCUAGUUUAGGUAAUGCUGAGUUAAUGAGAGCCCGAGGAAAAGGGUUUUGUGUUUUGGCUUGGGGUUUGGUUUGGCUUCUUUUUUUUCCUUUUUCUUUCUUUCUUUCUUUCUUUUUUUUUAAGCAGCUGAUUGUGAUCUACAUUUGAAAAUGUUCCUAAGUGAUGCUGUGAUUCGGGGAAGCUGGAGCUCUGGGGCUCAAAGCCUGCAACAGAAUUGCAGCAUGAAUCUAGAGAUCCUAAGGGCAAGGUUCUUCCCAGCUUGGGAAACCUAACCAAGAUCCAAUCUAUGUCUGAGCCUCAAAGGGCCUCAUGAGUCCCCUAAAACUUACAAUCUUACAAUGUGUGUACAUUGUUUGAGUUUGUACAUGUAUAAGUGAAUAGCCAUAGGGUUUUGUUUUGUUGUUUGCUUUGUUGUUUUGUUUUUCAAGACAGGAUUUCUCGGUGUAGACCUGGCUGUCCUGGACCAUGCUGAACUCAGAGACCCAUCUGCUUCUGCCUCCUGAGUGCUGGGAUUAAAGGCGAGUGCCCAGCAGGGUUUGAUUUCGGUUUGUUUGUUUUUUUUUUUUAAAGCAGAUUUUCAGUAAGGAAUCAUGGACAUAAUGGUUUAUACAAGAUAUUAGAAGAACAGGAUAUAUUUGAUAAAUGCAAUGCUUUGUGGAAGUUACUGACAGAUGCUGGGUUGAGAUAAAGACCAAACUCAUGUUUAAAUGCUUAUACCAUGAUGCUGCGAACACAAAAGGGAAUAUUUGGGUUUUGUUUUUUACUUAUAGGAAAUAAAACAUUAGAUGACUGUCU
Molecule: RNA transcript, 2828 nt
Organism: Mus musculus (house mouse)
Lineage: Eukaryota; Metazoa; Chordata; Mammalia; Rodentia; Muridae
Gene name: RIKEN cDNA 6330549D23 gene
Exons: 2
Source: RefSeq, marked validated